CUGGUAUCAGAUAGGUGUAAUUU
Molecule: microRNA, 23 nt
Filed under: Drosophila sechellia
Lineage: Eukaryota; Metazoa; Arthropoda; Insecta; Diptera; Drosophilidae
Description: dse-miR-992-5p
Gene: dse-miR-992-5p
Source: miRBase by way of RNAcentral